UUCAGGAGGGUGCUUGCAGGGUGGAGUCCUUUCAGCCAGGGGCCAACCACUGAAUAAGAGAAAUUUAGAUCAGGGUAGGAAAGAUUCCAGUACAGCUCACUUCACAAUACAGUGCUGCUGUUGUUCACCCAAGAGGUUAAACUGGAACUUGGAUCCAAUUUGAAUUUCAUUAAAAGAUUCAAUGAACAUGAAAAAGAUUUUUAGAACAAUACAUAAUUCUUCAUACAAUCCAUAAUUAGCUUGUAUCCAGGAAAUAUGGAAAUUCCCAGUGAAACCAGAUACAACGUAAAAUGAACAGGAUGCAUUUGCAUAUAACAAAGGUUUUGUAUUAAAAGCAAGGAAGCAUAAACGUAUAGAUCUAGAUCCCGGGUCUAAUCAGAGCAAAAGUGCUUAGAAAAUCCAGAAAUAAGAGCAUUUCUAUUCAAAAGGAAGCAACUAUUUUGAUGAUUUCAAGUUGAAGGAUCUGCAAGUGUACAGAAGGCCAGCAUGAGAAUUGAAAUUUAUUUUGAUUAUUUCAAAGAGCAUUCCACAAAAAGAACCACAGAAUCACAGAAUGGGUUAUGUAGGAAGGGACCACAGUAGUUCAUCUGGUCCAACCUCCCUGGUCAAGCAGCUUAUCCCAGACCAGCACAGGAUUGUGUCCAGACAGUUCUUGAAUAUAUUCAGUGAGGGAGACUCUCUGGACAACCUGUUCCAGUGGUGACAGUGGUCAAUCACCACCAGCAGAUAAGUUAUUCCUCAUGUUCAUGUGGAACUUCCUGUGCAUCAGUUUCUGCCUGUUGCCUGUUUUAUUGCUUGGCACCAUUGAGAAGAACCUGACUCCAUCCUCUUGUCACUAGUAAUACUUCAAGUUUGGAAAUAUGAAAUUCUGCUCUCAGGUUGGACAGAGUCUAUAUGAGGAGCACAAAAAUAAGGACAAAUCAAGCUGUUGGACAGGGGAAACACCUAUGGAGUAAUUUUGUGUCUAAGAGAAGAGCAGUACCUCCUACAAGAGCUCUACCAGGCAAGCUGCUCAGGCACAGCAAUAAGCUUACUGUUUGCCUCUCUGCACAGUUAUGGCUCUGUCAUGCAUCAAUAUGAUCACACAAUUUUUGAAGAUUAUUUUCUGAUUUGGUGCUUUGUUUCUGAGAAACAUGCAGUUCCUAAAGAUGUUUAUUGUGGUGUAUUGUGGGCAAUAUAGAUUUCACAGUUGGGUUCCUGGUCUAGUUUAGCCCCUGCUCAACACCCAGGUCAUGUGUGAUUGGAUCUGACUCGUGCCAGUAAGAAUGGAAUUGCUCUUGGAAUCCAGAAUGUGAUGUGAAGAUUUACUUAAAAUUCAAAACAUAGAUUGAUCAGACGUUCUCCAACAACACUUGUGUGAACAUUCCUGCCUUUACAAAAGACUACAGAGACUAUCCCAAGUAACAAAAAUGUCUUAAUUAUUUCCACCUUUAUUUUCACCAUAUAUUUAUGGAUUAGAUGAGAAAUAUUUGUUGACAUCAAUGCUAAAUUUUAAGUGAAAAAGGCAUAUAAAUACUGUGAAAAUAUCUGAGCAAUAAUCUGUUUUCCCUGCACUCACUGUAGAGACAGUUAGAUACUGAAGCACUCAAAUGUAAUGCUUUGACAAUUAAAAUUAUAUAGUUUUUCCCUCCUACACAAUUUUUUAAAGCUUUUAGGUGACAUUUUCUUCAAGAGUACAUGCUGUACCCUACAUUUAGGAAUGGAAAAUUUGUAAAAUUUCUAAAAGUGGGAAAAUGUGUAUUUUUAAGGUUAUUUUCAAAGUUUAAUAUUGGAAUUUAAAAUGCUAACCCUUCCUCCUUGAAGCAAGCCAGGUCUUAGGUCUUAAUCGAAGAAAAUCAGAAAUGUAGAUGAAACCCAGAAAGGAACCAGAUUUAAUAUUAUUAUUAUGUUAUAAGGAAAAAUCCCUUAUCUGUAAGGACAGUCAUUUGUCUUUUCCUUUUUCUCAAUACCUUUUCCAGAAUUAUCCAUGUGUAGUAAGAGUAGGGGUAAUACCUAGAAUAAUGCCAUUAGAAAAAGAAAAAUCAUCACCAAGCUACCAAAAAAUUAACAGUUAGCCUUAUAAGACCAAGAAAAAGUAAUACAAAAAAAGUAGAAUCUACAUCACUUCUGUAUCUCUAGAAAAAUUCUGGAAAUGUGUUUCAACUUAAUCAUCUACCAGUGGCAAGAUCAUUGCUAAAAUGAAAUUGUUGGCAGCAUCACAGAAAAGAUGAAACUGGGGUUAACACACCUGUGGUAUAAUUUCUUCUACUCUGUGCAACUCCACCUGCCAAGGAAGAGUAAAUGCACCAGCAGCAAAUCUCAGCCUGGAGAAUAGGAAGUCAUUUCAGUCAAGGAAUAUCCAAACUGCUGUAACUUUUAUCUUCAUUUGUUCAAAAAAUAUCCUCAGAAGAAGCAGGCAGGAUUUUUAGUUCACUGAACUUUCUGCUCCUCACCAUGAGUACACAAAAGUUCAGAAAAAAAACCCAGUUGUUCAGCUCUCAAGCUACCAGGCCCCAAGAUCUCCAAUUUCUCUAAAAAUCACAGCAACAAAGAAGUAAAGCAAAAUUUUGAUGCUGAAAAUUUCCACAUUAUGGGUGACUCUAUUUCUUAAUAAUUGAACAUGCAUGUUUGUUGUGCAGAAUGAAAGGUGAGAGCCAAAGACCAUUUUCUUUCCUACAAUGCAAAUUCUCAAAGAAAUAACAUAUAGGUUAAACAUAUUUAACUUUGGUAGGUUUAACCUAUAAUACAUUAUAGAUUAAACAUAUUUCUUUUUAGCUCUGUCCAGUCUUCUGGUUUAUAUUUUGCUGAACUCUCUUGGGUCAAAGAAACAGCACAAAAAUAUUCACAUUUUGUUUUCAUUUAGGGAGACAGGGAUUUCCAGGGCCCGUCCUAAGCCUGGAGAGAAGGAGCUUCCCAUGAUGUCUUGUCCUGGAAGGACACAGCAACAGGCCAGUCUGGAAAUGUUUGCAACAAAUAAUUUUAGACUCAAAUUGACAACCUGCCCAACCUAGUUCUUUCAGCAGAAUCAACUGUAUCCAAAUAAUUUCCUACAGUUGUUUAACCUCAUCUUUAAAACCUUGUCUAAUUUCUUUAAACUUCUUAUCUAGCCCAUACUUAAAAUUCUGAACACCACAAGUGCCUUUGGCCACCUUUCUGAGGGUUUAUUUGUUCUGACUGUUAAAAAUUUCUCCAUGUUAAACCCAAAUUUCCCUUGCUAGAAUUUAUGGCUAUUUCUUGUCUCCAGUGAAUAUGGAGAAUGCUUUCUUCUUUUCCUCUUCACCUAUUUUACAAUUUAUCUUUUAUGUCCUGAAAAAUAGAUUUCCCUUCAGAUUCUGUUCUUUAAGCUAAAAUACAUGUUCAAGAAAAUUAAAGGGAGAAUCCUGUAUUCCAAUCCCAUCAGGAAAAGAAAUUAAAGUCUCCAGAAAAGCUAUGGUGACAUCUGGUGAGCUUGAGCACUUUUUAUCUGGGAAAUUGUUAUGUCUGCCUCCUGGCUUUCCUCCUUUCGAAAAAUAUUUUAUUAUUGUAGCAAAAAAUUCUUUAGUUUCUUUAUCAGUGAAGAAGGGUUUUUUGGUUCUCAGAUUAAUUUGUUUUUUGUAUUCUGCAUUUUUAAUUAGCAGCUCUCUCCUUCAAAGCAUAUAUUUUAUCAGAUUAUGGACAUUAAUAGAGCACAGUAUCAAGUUUGCCAUGUCACAUUCUUUAGCCAUGAAAAUAAGUUAUUGCAUGACUUAUGGAGGACUAUACACUCUAAAAAUAGUCAAGAUGAAAAGACUUGUUAAGGAAAUUAUAUUAACCAAGAUACAUAGGAAAGAAAGCAUCUCAAUUAUAACUAGAUUUUAAAAGCAGUAUUACUGUUACCUUGUUUCAGCAAGAAAAUUAAUCUUUAAAAUAGAUCUCAUCUGAUGAAAGUCUCUUAAGGCUGUGACCUAUUCAGGUGACAGUUUAAUCUAUAAAGGUUGCAUUUAAGUUUAAAUAAACCAUUUUUCUUGCCACUAUAAUAGACUAAGAGCUCAUGGUCCGUGAAUUGUAAAGAGAAGUAACUUACUGGAGAAUGGAUGGUUAUUUCUUCAGUUGCAUUAACUCUACUUGCAUGAAUUUGUGCCAGCUCAAAUUUCAGUAUAGAGUGUUCAGGACAUAGCUCAUUUCCUAGCACCUUGACUUCAUGUUUCAUGUCACUCUUGUUCAUACAACCCUCAUCCAAUGACCCUUUGCAUUCUCCCAGCUAGCAGGUGAGCUGUGCUUGUUCUGGGAGCUGCAUAGGCAGAACUGCCUUUGGAGGACAUUACUGACACUGCAGGUUUUGCAGCCUACCCAUUAAUAACAUUUAGAUUCAAUGCCAGCAGGUAAGAGAAGAAAAAAGUUGUUGUUUCUGGAUGCUUUGGGGGCUGGAAGGGAGGGACACUCUGCAAAUGAUCUGGGGUUAAGCCAUGGUUUCUGCACCCAGUGCUGGAGUUAGAGGGAUUAUCUAUGCCACUGCUUUCUGCCCCUCACCAGCAAUGAUUCCUGGGUAUUUAAACUGUUAUCCUGAAAGACUCUAAAAUCCUUCUUUCAGGUUAUUGCUCUUGACAUUUGAAGUUAAUUUCUUGCCUUUUCCCUUGUACUUCUCUGCAGCCAGCUUAUUUUGCCUUCGAUCUAUCAUCUUCCCCUCAGUGUUUCAUUUAAUUUUUUACCAGGUCAAAGCAGCUGAUUACAACCUUUUUAAGAUAGCUAAAACCAGAAGGAAUAAUUAAAUUAGCCCACAUUACCAGAUUGCUAACCAGAAACAAUGCUGUCACCUGGCAACUUUCCAAACAGAACUAGAUGAAUGGGACAGAUCAGGGUCUCUACUUGACACGAUUCAAGGCCAGCCUGGGGACACGACAGAACAGGAGUUAGGAAUGCCUUGCACUGAUCCCAAAGGCAAAUACCCACAGAGCCAGUGUAACUCUCAUGGCUGGCACCUUGAAGGAGGUGUCUGUGAAAGCACAAAGCUCCUGGCCACUCAUGUGCAGAGAGUUCUGGUUUCAGGAGACACUGUUUACACUCUUGAGGGUUAUUGUGAGUGAGGUGAUCCCUGCUUUAGAAGCAGCACUACAGACCUCACUGUAAGUUUGAAACUCCAAUGAUGUCAGGUGCCAGGAACAGACAAGGGACCAUCAAUCAGCAAUUUGCCUUGUGAUCUUGUGUCUUCACAUGAAUUUUAACUAGUUAAUAGCUAAAUUGAGAGAAAAAGGAAAAUGUUUUCUAGAAUGUGUAUUUCAGGGGAUCAGCCCUGUUUCUGUUUGGAGGAUGUAUUUUGAAACCUCAGAGGAGUGUUUACCUGGAAGGCCCAGUGGUAGACUCUAGGAACAGGGCAGGGCUGUGUUGAGUACUGUGCCAUCAGGGAAGCCCUAGGUGGCACAGCUAACUCUAACAAAGAAAAUUCAAUCCCUCGUGUUGCAGGCAAUAACAUCACAUUCCACUUCCCAGCAGAGUCAUCUCAAAAAUAGUCCCAUGUUAAAUGCUUGUGAUAUCAAUGAUUUUCCUGUACUAACACUCAACUGUGUCACUACAGAUAUGAGGUGCAUUAUGCACCAAUAGACUGUGCAAAUAUUUAGAUAGGAUUUGGAAUAAUAAAAUAAAUAAAAUCCACUGCUAAAUCAUAAAUCUUCUGUUUUAUCAUCUUUUAUAUUAAUGUGAAUUAUCUGCAAUAACAAUACCAUGCCAAUCAUCUUU
Serinus canaria (Common canary) is the source of this 5670-nucleotide long non-coding RNA. RefSeq lists it as uncharacterized. The record is from RefSeq and is a predicted model, not a curated record. NCBI's taxonomy places the organism in Eukaryota, Metazoa, Chordata, Aves, Passeriformes, Fringillidae. The transcript is spliced from 7 exons.